This 253-nucleotide ribosomal RNA is filed under the name uncultured bacterium. Its description in RNAcentral is "partial 16S ribosomal RNA". It matches the Rfam family "Bacterial small subunit ribosomal RNA", at positions 524 to 776 of the family's 1533-position model. The record is from RNAcentral.
UACGAAGGGGGCUAGCGUUGUUCGGAAUUACUGGGCGUAAAGCGCACGUAGGCGGGUUGUUAAGUCAGGGGUGAAAUCCUGGAGCUCAACUCCAGAACUGCCUUUGAUACUGGCAACCUAGAGACUGGAAGAGGUUAGUGGAAUUCCCAGUGUAGAGGUGAAAUUCGUAGAUAUCAGGAGGAACACCGGUGGCGAAGGCGGGUCUCUGGGCCGAUACUGACGCUGAGGAGCGAAAGCGUGGGGAGCGAACAGG